RNAcentral lists this non-coding RNA (30 nucleotides) under Mus musculus (house mouse). Lineage: Eukaryota; Metazoa; Chordata; Mammalia; Rodentia; Muridae. The record is from RNAcentral.
UACUGAUUGAUGCCUGAUGGACAUAGUAAA